This 223-nucleotide ribosomal RNA is filed under the name uncultured bacterium. RNAcentral's name for it is "partial 16S ribosomal RNA". It matches the Rfam family "Bacterial small subunit ribosomal RNA", at positions 109 to 334 of the family's 1533-position model. The record is from RNAcentral.
AGUAACGCGUAGGAACCUGUCGCACAGAGGGGAUAACGCUGGGAAACCGGCGCUAAUACCGCAUGUGGCUCUUGGAGGGGACUUCAAGAAAGAAAGCAGCAAUGCGCUGUGUGAGGGGCCUGCGUCCGAUUAGCUAGUUGGUGGGGUAAAGGCCUACCAAGGCAUCGAUCGGUAGCUGGUCUGAGAGGACGGUCAGCCACACUGGGACUGAGAUACGGCCCAG